Ficedula albicollis (Collared flycatcher) is the source of this 483-nucleotide long non-coding RNA. RefSeq lists it as uncharacterized. The transcript is spliced from 3 exons. Lineage: Eukaryota; Metazoa; Chordata; Aves; Passeriformes; Muscicapidae. The record is from RefSeq and is a predicted model, not a curated record.
CCCCCAGGAGCACCUGGGGACCCUCAACCCCCCAAAACUGCGAGGGGGGCAGAGCCCAGGGUGGGAAAAUGCUGGAAAAGCCGAGGGGGAAAUCAAAAAUCAACAGGCAGGUAAAGGGGGGGCAGCAGGUGGGCUGGGGCAGCCAGGUGAGCAGGUCCUGAAGGCACAGAGCCCGGCAGGUGAGCAGGCCUGGCGUCUGGGAGGGGCCAGGUGAGCAGAUCCAGGUGAGCAGGUCCCACCAGGUGAGCAGAUCCGGGGUCUGGGAGGGUCCAGGUGAGCAGAUCCAGGUGAGCAGGUCCCACCAGGUGAGCAGAUCCAGACUGUGAGUGUCCAGGUGAGCAGAUCCAGGUGAGCAGGUCCCACCAGGUGAGCAGAUCAAGGGUCUGGGAGGGUCCAGGUGAGCAGAUCCAGGUGAGCAGGUCCCACCAGGUGAGCAGAUCAAGGGUCUGGGAGGGUCCAGGUGAGCAGAUCCAGGUGAGCAGG